UACGUAGGGGGCGAGCGUUGUCCGGAAUUACUGGGCGUAAAGCGCGCGUUGGUGGUUUCUCAAGUUCGGCGUGAAAUCUCCAGGCUCAACUUGGAGGGGUCGUCGAAGACUGGGAGACUAGGGUCUGGCAGAGGCAGGUAGAAUUCCCGGUGGAGCGGUGAAAUGCGUAGAAAUCGGGAGGAAUACCAGUGGCGAAGGCGGCCUGCUGGGCCACGACCGACACUGAGGUGCGAAAGCGUGGGGAGCGAACCGG
This 253-nucleotide ribosomal RNA is filed under the name uncultured bacterium. Its description in RNAcentral is "partial 16S ribosomal RNA". It matches the Rfam family "Bacterial small subunit ribosomal RNA", at positions 524 to 776 of the family's 1533-position model. The record is from RNAcentral.